GCACUGGUAUAGCUCAGUGGUUACUUCUCUGAAACUCAUACGAAUGAACCUCAGCCCUCCCUCAAUCGAGGGAUCGACCCAUGGGCGCUGUCCAGUGUUUUU
This is a vault RNA of Salarias fasciatus (jewelled blenny), 102 nucleotides long. Its record names the gene Vault. It matches the Rfam family "Vault RNA". Rfam says of the family: This family of RNAs are found as part of the enigmatic vault ribonucleoprotein complex. The complex consists of a major vault protein (MVP), two minor vault proteins (VPARP and TEP1), and several small untranslated RNA molecules. The record is from Ensembl. Lineage: Eukaryota; Metazoa; Chordata; Actinopteri; Blenniiformes; Blenniidae.